Molecule: small RNA, 30 nt
Filed under: Arabidopsis thaliana (thale cress)
Lineage: Eukaryota; Viridiplantae; Streptophyta; Magnoliopsida; Brassicales; Brassicaceae
Description: ATSL029980
Source: RNAcentral
GUUAUCAUCAUUCCAACUUGUUAAAUUUUU